UAUCUAGAGAGGUGGAGGGACUGGCCCUACGAAGCCUCGGCAACAGACUUAGCAUUGAAGUACUGUGCCAAUUCCAGCAAGCUAGCAUGUUAGCUUGAAAGAUA
Molecule: non-coding RNA, 104 nt
Filed under: uncultured Cytobacillus sp.
Lineage: Bacteria; Bacillati; Bacillota; Bacilli; Caryophanales; Bacillaceae
Description: SAM riboswitch (S box leader)
Rfam family: SAM riboswitch aptamer (S box leader)
About the family: The SAM riboswitch is found upstream of a number of genes which code for proteins involved in methionine or cysteine biosynthesis in Gram-positive bacteria.
Source: RNAcentral